RNAcentral lists this ribosomal RNA (468 nucleotides) under uncultured bacterium. Its description in RNAcentral is "partial 16S ribosomal RNA". It matches the Rfam family "Bacterial small subunit ribosomal RNA", at positions 28 to 507 of the family's 1533-position model. The record is from RNAcentral.
GACGAACGCUGGCGGCGUGCUUAACACAUGCAAGUCGAACGGCAACGCCCUGCUUUCGUGGGGUGCUCGAGUGGCGAACGGGGGAGUAACACGUGAGCAUCCUGCUCUGGACUUUGGGAUAACUUCAGGAAACUGGGGCUAAUACAGGAUAGGAGCCGCUGCUGGAUGGUGGGGGUUGGAUAGUUUCGGCGGGGGGGGAUGGAUUCGCGGCUUAUGAGCUUGUUGGUGGGGUAGUGGCUGACCAAGGCUUUGGCGGGUAGCCGGCCUGAGAGGGUGACCGGCCACCUUGGGACUGAGGUACGGCCCAGACUCCUACGGGGGGCAACGGGGGGAAAUCUUGCCCAGUGGGCUCAAGCCGGAUGCAGAAGCCCCGCGUGCGGAAAGCCGGCCUUCUGGUUAUAAACCGCAUUCGCCUGAGACCAAGCGUUUCUGACGGUAAUCGGUAAAGAAGCACCGGCUAACUUCGUG